Molecule: ribosomal RNA, 1478 nt
Filed under: uncultured bacterium
Lineage: Bacteria
Description: bacterial SSU rRNA
Rfam family: Bacterial small subunit ribosomal RNA
Source: RNAcentral
AGAGUUUGAUCCUGGCUCAGGAUGAACGCUAGCGGCAGGCUUAACACAUGCAAGUCGAGGGGUAACGGGGAAGCUUGCUUCCGCCGACGACCGGCGCACGGGUGCGUAACGCGUAUACAAUCUACCUUAUACUGGGGUAUAGCCUUUAGAAAUGAAGAUUAACCCCCCAUAGUCUCUUAGAGUGGCAUCACUUCUAGAGUAAAGGUUACGGUAUAAGAUGAGUAUGCGUUCUAUUAGUUUGUUGGUGUGGUAACGGCACACCAAGACUACGAUAGAUAGGGGCCCUGAGAGGGGGAUCCCCCACACUGGUACUGAGACACGGACCAGACUCCUACGGGAGGCAGCAGUGAGGAAUAUUGGACAAUGGAGGCAACUCUGAUCCAGCCAUGCCGCGUGCAGGAAGACUGCCCUAUGGGUUGUAAACUGCUUUUAUACAGGAAGAAACACCUCUACGUGUAGAGGCUUGACGGUACUGUAAGAAUAAGGAUCGGCUAACUCCGUGCCAGCAGCCGCGGUAAUACGGAGGAUCCAAGCGUUAUCCGGAAUCAUUGGGUUUAAAGGGUCCGUAGGUGGAUAAUUAAGUCAGAGGUGAAAUCUUGCAGCUCAACUGUAAAAUUGCCUUUGAAACUGGUUAUCUUGAGUUAUUAUGAAGUAGUUAGAAUAUGUAGUGUAGCGGUGAAAUGCAUAGAUAUUACAUAGAAUACCAAUUGCGAAGGCAGAUUACUAAUAAUCAACUGACACUGAUGGACGAAAGCGUGGGUAGCGAACAGGAUUAGAUACCCUGGUAGUCCACGCCGUAAACGAUGGUUACUAGCUGUUUGGACUUCGGUCUGAGUGGCUAAGCGAAAGUGAUAAGUAACCCACCUGGGGAGUACGUUCGCAAGAAUGAAACUCAAAGGAAUUGACGGGGGCCCGCACAAGCGGUGGAGCAUGUGGUUUAAUUCGAUGAUACGCGAGGAACCUUACCAGGGCUUAAAUGUAAGUUGCAUUAGUUAGAGAUAGCUAUUUCUUCGGACCACUUACAAGGUGCUGCAUGGUUGUCGUCAGCUCGUGCCGUGAGGUGUCAGGUUAAGUCCUAUAACGAGCGCAACCCCUGUUGUUAGUUGCCAGCGAGUCAUGUCGGGAACUCUAGCAAGACUGCCAGUGCAAACUGUGAGGAAGGUGGGGAUGACGUCAAAUCAUCACGGCCCUUACGUCCUGGGCUACACACGUGCUACAAUGGUAGGUACAGAGAGCAGCCACUGCGCGAGCAGGAGCGAAUCUACAAAACCUAUCACAGUUCGGAUCGGAGUCUGCAACUCGACUCCGUGAAGCUGGAAUCGCUAGUAAUCGGAUAUCAGCCAUGAUCCGGUGAAUACGUUCCCGGGCCUUGCACACACCGCCCGUCAAGCCAUGGAAGUUGGAAGUGCCUGAAGUCCGUCACCGCAAGGAGCGGCCUAGGGUAAAGUCGAUAACUAGGGCUAAGUCGUAACAAGGUA